GCUUUCCCAGGCCACAAGCAGGGAGAUGAAUGGGAAGCAAGGCCGCCAGGACAUGCACCAGUAUGGAUCUCUUCGAAUGCAAGGAAGAGUCACCUUUGCAAGACCUGCUCCAUGGGCUCAUUUGCACUCCAAGAAAUAGUGGCUGCAUUCCUGAAACUUUGAUAUGGAUGGUCUGGAAUCUGUUAUCUUACACCUGGAAUUCAAAUGACUCCCUGCCUUAGCCACCUCUGUGAUGGUUGGGACAGUCUUUGGCAUCCUGGCAGAGGCAAGGUCAUGACCCAGAGAUGUGUAAGACAUGAUAAGAUUUUAACAUUAACUAUCAGGUAAGCAACAACAAAAAGCUGAAAU
Long non-coding RNA from Ochotona curzoniae (black-lipped pika), 348 nucleotides. RefSeq lists it as uncharacterized. The record is from RefSeq and is a predicted model, not a curated record. The transcript is spliced from 2 exons. Lineage: Eukaryota; Metazoa; Chordata; Mammalia; Lagomorpha; Ochotonidae.